GACGAACGCUGGCGGCGUGCUUAACACAUGCAAGUCGAACGGAAAGGCCCUGCUUUUGUGGGGUGCUCGAGUGGCGAACGGGUGAGUAACACGUGAGUAACCUGCCCUUGACUUUGGGAUAACUUCAGGAAACUGGGGCUAAUACCGGAUAGGUGCUCCUGCUGCAUGGUGGGGGUUGGAAAGUUUCGGCGGUUGGGGAUGGACUCGCGGCUUAUCAGCUUGUUGGUGGGGUAGUGGCUUACCAAGGCUUUGACGGGUAGCCGGCCUGAGAGGGUGACCGGCCACAUUGGGACUGAGAGACGGCCCAGACUCCUACGGGAGGCAGCAGGGGGGAAUAUUGCACAGUGGGCGGAAGCCUGAUGCAGCAGCGCCGCGUGCGGGAUGUCGGCCUUCGGGUUGUAAACCGCUUUCGCCUGUGACGAAGCGUGAGUGACGGUAAUGGGUAAAGAAGCACCGGCUAACUACGUG
RNAcentral lists this ribosomal RNA (468 nucleotides) under uncultured bacterium. Its description in RNAcentral is "partial 16S ribosomal RNA". It matches the Rfam family "Bacterial small subunit ribosomal RNA", at positions 28 to 507 of the family's 1533-position model. The record is from RNAcentral.